RNAcentral lists this ribosomal RNA (491 nucleotides) under uncultured bacterium. Its description in RNAcentral is "partial 16S ribosomal RNA". It matches the Rfam family "Bacterial small subunit ribosomal RNA", at positions 28 to 507 of the family's 1533-position model. The record is from RNAcentral.
GAUGAACGCUGGCUACAGGCUUAACACAUGCAAGUCGAGGGGAAACGACGGGGAAGCUUGCUUCCCCGGGCGUCGACCGGCGCACGGGUGAGUAACGCGUAUCCAACCUGCCUCUGACUGAGGGAUAACCCGUCGAAAGUCGGCCUAAUACCUCAUGGCAUCGUCUGCGGGCAUCCAACGACGAUUAAAGAUUUCAUCGGUCAGGGAUGGGGAUGCGUCUGAUUAGCUUGUUGGCGGGGUAACGGCCCACCAAGGCUACGAUCAGUAGGGGUUCUGAGAGGAAGGUCCCCCACAUUGGAACUGAGACACGGUCCAAACGCCUACGGGAGGCAGCAGUGAGGAAUAGUGGUCAAUGGGCGGGAGCCUGAACCAGCCAAGUAGCGUGCAGGAUGACGGCCCUAUGGGUUGUAAACUGCUUUUAUGCGGGGAUAAAGUGAGGGACGUGUCCUUCAUUGCAGGUACCGCAUGAAUAAGGACCGGCUAAUUCCGUG